UUAUAACACACUUUAGCUAAAAUAUAUUGAAUGAUUUUUUAUAUUUGCUUUAGUUAAAUAGCUAUGUAAUUAAAUAAUUACAGUUUUAUUUUAUAUAUUUUUACUAAUGGAUCUAUGCAGACAUUUUUCGAUCGGAUCUGAUAAGUAUAUUGAAACCUACUGUCAAUAUAACACGCUGUCAUAUAACAGAGAAAAAUCUAGUCAUUGAGAUAUUUAUUGGUUACAUUAAUAAAAAAAUAAACAUACACAAAAAAAAACUACUAACAUAAUACAUGAAUGAUAGUUAACUACUUGCAUGCGUAAAAAUGCAUUAAAUGUAC
Long non-coding RNA from Apis dorsata (giant honeybee), 320 nucleotides. RefSeq lists it as uncharacterized. The record is from RefSeq and is a predicted model, not a curated record. NCBI's taxonomy places the organism in Eukaryota, Metazoa, Arthropoda, Insecta, Hymenoptera, Apidae. The transcript has 2 exons.